CAAGGUACUAAGGGCACGCGGUGGAUGCCUUGGCGGCGGGAGGCGAUGAAGGGCGUGGCAAGCUGCGAUAAGCCCGGGGGAGCCGCAAGCAGGCGUUGAUCCCGGGAUUCCCGAAUGGGGAAACCUGGGUGGCCGUUGAGGCCACUCGCCGCCGAAAGGCGGUGCGACACCGGGGGAAGUGAAACAUCUCAGUACCCCGAGGAAAAGAAAUCAACCGAGAUUCCCCUAGUAGCGGCGAGCGAACGGGGAGGAGCCCAAACCAGCGUGGUGCCAAAGCCCGUGGGCGUUGCCACGCUGGGGUUGCGGGACACGACCGGGCGAGGCCACGGACUCGCCGGGGAGUUACAAAUCCCUCCUCUAGCCGAACCACCUGGGAAGGUGGGCCGGAGAGGGUGACAGCCCCGUAGGCGAAAGGGGAGGGACUCCCUGGGUCGUGUUCCCGAGUACCACGGGACACGUGGAAUCCCGUGGGAAGCUGGGGGGACCACCCUCCAAGGCUAAAUACUACCCGCCGCCCGAUAGUGCACCAGUACCGUGAGGGAAAGGUGAAAAGCACCCCGGAAGGGGAGUGAAAGAGGACCUGAAACCGCGUGCCUACAAGAAGUCGGAGCCCCCAUUUGGGGGUGACGGCGUGCCUUUUGAUUAAUGAGCCCGCGAGUUGCCGUCGGUGGCGAGGUUAAGCCGAUUGAGGCGUAGCCGUAGCGAAAGCGAGUCCGAACAGGGCGUCUAGUCACCGGCGGCAGACCCGAAGCCGGGUGAGCUACCCCUGGGCAGGGUGAAGGUGGGUUAAAACCCACUGGAGGCCCGAACCGGUGGACAGUGAAAAGUCCUCGGAUGACCUGGGGGUAGGAGUGAAAAGCUAACCGAACCCGGUGAUAGCUGGUUCUCCCCGAAAUGCAUUGAGGUGCAGCCUCGGGUGGUCUGUGCAGGGGGUAGAGCACUGAUGGGGCUAGGGGGGUUUCCUCCGAACCCCGUCAAACUCCGAAUCCCUGCACACAAAGCCCGGGAGUGAGCCCGCGGGGGAUAAGCUCCGCGGACGAGAGGGGAACAACCCAGACCGCCGGCUAAGGGCCCGAAGAGGUGGCUAAGUGGUAAAGGAUGUGGGGCGCCUAAGACAGCUGGGAUGUUGGCUUAGAAGCAGCCAUCAUUUAAAGAGUGCGUAACAGCUCACCAGCCGAGGCGCCCUGCACCGAAAAUGUAACGGGGCUCAAGCCACCCCCCGAAGCCGCGGGUCAGUACCUCCGCUGGAGGUACUGGCGGUAGGGGAGCGUUCCGCUGUAGGGUGAAGGCGGACCCGCGAGGGCCGCUGGACGAGGCGGAAGUGAGAAUGCGGGCAUGAGUACGCGAGAGGAGGGUGAGAAUCCCUCCCCCCGUAAGCCCAAGGGUACCUGGGGAAGGGUCGUCCGCCCAGGGUUAGCCGGGACCCUAAGGUGAACCCGAAAGGGGUAGCCGAAGGGAAGCCGGUUAAUAUUCCGGCGCCACCUGCGGUCGAUGGUACGAGGGGUGACGCAGGAGGGUAGGCGCCGGGGGCAAGUGGCAUGCCCCUCCAAGCGGUUAGGGCGAUGACGGGCGUAGGUAAAUCCGCGCCCCGAGCCUGAGCCGUGAUGGGGAGGUCCCUUCGGGGACCAACGGCGCCGACCCCACACUGCCGAGAAAAACCUCGCGUACCGCUUGAGACCGUAGGUGCCCGUUCCGCAAACCGACACAGGUGGGCGGGCUGAGAAGGCUCAGGGGAGCGGGUUAACCCUCGCCAAGGAACUCGGCAAAUUGGCCCCGUAACUUCGGGAGAAGGGGUGCCGCGUUAGGGUGAACCCGGGGGAAGGGGCAACCCGGAAACCGGGGGAGCCCGAGGCGGUCGCAGUGACAAGGCCCUGGCGACUGUUUACCAAAAACACAGGUCUCUGCUAACUCGAAAAGAGGAAGUAUAGGGACUGACGCCUGCCCAGUGCCGGAAGGUUAAGGGGAGGGGUGAGGCUCCCCUUGUGGGAGCGUAGCUCCGACCCGAAGCCCCGGUAAACGGCGGCCGUAACUAUAACGGUCCUAAGGUAGCGUUCGCUGCCUGGGGAUAAGGGUGAGCGAAAUUCCUUGUCGGGUAAGUUCCGACCUGCAUGAAUGGCGUAACGACUGGGGCACUGUCUCGGCGGGGGGCCCGGCGAAAUUUCAGUCUGGGUGAAGAUGCCCAGUACCCGCGGCUAGACGGAAAGACCCCGUGGAGCUUUACUGCAGCCUGGUAUUGGGCUCUGGUGCAUCGUGUAUAGAAUAGGUGGGAGGCUGUGAAGCCGCCUCGCCAGGGGCGGUGGAGCCGCCAGUGGAAUACCACCCUCGGUGCACUGGAGUCCUAACCUGACCCUGUGAAGAGCAGGGUGGGGACAGUGCCAGGUGGGCAGUUUGACUGGGGCGGUCACCUCCUAAAGAGUAACGGAGGUGCGCAAAGGUCGGCUCAGGUGGGUUGGAAAUCCACCGUAGAGUGCAAGGGCAUAAGCCGGCCUGACUGCGAGGCCGACAGGCCGAGCAGGGGGGAAACCCGGCCCUAGUGACCCGGCGGCCCCGUGUGGAAGGGCCGUCGAUCAACGGAUAAAAGUUACCCCGGGGAUAACAGGCUGGUCCCGCCCGAGAGUUCACAUCGACGGCGGGGUUCGGCACCUCGAUGUCGGCUCAUCCCAUCCUGGGGCUGAAGCAGGUCCCAAGGGUUGGGCUGUUCGCCCAUUAAAGGGGUACGUGAGCUGGGUUCAGACCGUCGUGAGACAGGUCGGUCCCUAUCUGCCGCGGGCGUAGGAGGCUUGAGGGGGGUCCUCCCUUGUACGAGAGGACCGGGAGGAGGGGGCCUCUGGUGUACCGGCUGUCGCGCCAGCGGCAUACGCCGGGUAGCUAUGCCCCUAAGCGAUAACCGCUGAAAGCAUCUAAGCGGGAAGCGCGCCCCAAGAUUAGGCCUCCCAUCCCGUUAAGGGAGUAAGGCCGGUCCGAGAAGAGGACCUUGAUAGGCCGGGGGUGUAAGCGCCGCAAGGCGUUGAGCCCACCGGUACUAAUCGGCCGAGGCCUUGA
RNAcentral lists this ribosomal RNA (3042 nucleotides) under Thermotoga neapolitana. Its description in RNAcentral is "23S ribosomal RNA". It matches the Rfam family "Bacterial large subunit ribosomal RNA". The record is from RNAcentral. Lineage: Bacteria; Thermotogati; Thermotogota; Thermotogae; Thermotogales; Thermotogaceae.